GAUGAACGCUGGCGGCGUGCCUAAUACAUGCAAGUCGAGCGAACAGACGAGGAGCUUGCUCCUCUGACGUUAGCGGCGGACGGGUGAGUAACACGUGGAUAACCUACCUAUAAGGCUGGGAUAACUUCGGGAAACCGGAGCUAAUACCGGAUAAUAUAUUGAACCGCAUGGUUCAAUAGUGAAAGACGGUUUUGCUGUCACUUAUAGAUGGAUCCGCGCCGCAUUAGCUAGUUGGUAAGGUAACGGCUUACCAAGGCAACGAUGCGUAGCCGACCUGAGAGGGUGAUCGGCCACACUGGAACUGAGACACGGUCCAGACUCCUACGGGAGGCAGCAGUAGGGAAUCUUCCGCAAUGGGCGAAAGCCUGACGGAGCAACGCCGCGUGAGUGAUGAAGGUCUUCGGAUCGUAAAACUCUGUUAUUAGGGAAGAACAAAUGUGUAAGUAACAAUGCACGUCUUGACGGUACCUAAUCAGAAAGCCACGGCUAACUACGUG
This 497-nucleotide ribosomal RNA is filed under the name uncultured bacterium. Its description in RNAcentral is "partial 16S ribosomal RNA". It matches the Rfam family "Bacterial small subunit ribosomal RNA", at positions 28 to 507 of the family's 1533-position model. The record is from RNAcentral.